GACGAACGCUGGCGGCGUGCUUAACACAUGCAAGUCGAACGGUAAGGCCCUUCGGGGUACACGAGUGGCGAACGGGUGAGUAACACGUGGGUGAUCUGCCCUGCACUUCGGGAUAAGCCUGGGAAACUGGGUCUAAUACCGGAUAGGACCCUGGGAUGCAUGUCCUGGGGUGGAAAGCUUUUGUGGUGUGGGAUGGGCCCGCGGCCUAUCAGCUUGUUGGUGGGGUGAUGGCCUACCAAGGCGACGACGGGUAGCCGGCCUGAGAGGGUGACCGGCCACACUGGGACUGAGAUACGGCCCAGACUCCUACGGGAGGCAGCAGUGGGGAAUAUUGCACAAUGGGCGCAAGCCUGACGCAGCGACGCCGCGUGAGGGAUGACGGCCUUCGGGUUGUAAACCUCUUUCAGCACCGACGAAGCGCAAGUGACGGUAGGUGCAGAAGAAGGACCGGCCAACUACGUGCCAGCAGCCGCAGUAA
RNAcentral lists this ribosomal RNA (478 nucleotides) under uncultured bacterium. Its description in RNAcentral is "partial 16S ribosomal RNA". It matches the Rfam family "Bacterial small subunit ribosomal RNA", at positions 28 to 523 of the family's 1533-position model. The record is from RNAcentral.